CUUUAUGGCCAUACCACCCUGAACACAUGGGAUCUCGACUGAUCUUGGAAGCUAAGCAGAGUCGGGCCUGGUUAGUACUUGGAUGCGAGACCCCCUGUGAAUACUGAGUGUUGUAGGCU
Molecule: ribosomal RNA, 119 nt
Organism: Pan troglodytes (chimpanzee)
Lineage: Eukaryota; Metazoa; Chordata; Mammalia; Primates; Hominidae
Source: Ensembl